AAAGCCACCCUACAGGGGGGGUGAGAACACCCGACCGGGGUUCGACAACUGGCGCAGCCAGUUGGACAAACGAGGAGACUGCCCGAAGGGUGAGCGCAGCGAGUCAAUCCCCCCCUCACCGCCA
Molecule: small RNA, 124 nt
Filed under: Salmonella enterica subsp. enterica
Lineage: Bacteria; Pseudomonadati; Pseudomonadota; Gammaproteobacteria; Enterobacterales; Enterobacteriaceae
Also listed under: 1 other name
Description: RtT sRNA
Rfam family: RtT RNA
About the family: This family represents a bacterial cis-regulatory element known as RtT RNA. The exact function of RtT is unknown although it is thought that it may be involved in changing the cellular response in relation to amino acid starvation.
Source: RNAcentral